Molecule: non-coding RNA, 75 nt
Organism: Podarcis lilfordi (Lilford's wall lizard)
Lineage: Eukaryota; Metazoa; Chordata; Lepidosauria; Squamata; Lacertidae
Source: the annotation of a GenBank genome assembly
UGCUGGUAUAGCUCAGUCAGGAGAGCAUGAGACUCUCAAUCUCAGGGUCAUGAGUUUGAGCCCUAACCUGGGCAA